AAACUUAAAGGAAAGUUGACGGGGCCCGGCACAAGCGGUGGAGGUAUGUGGUUUAAUUCGAUGCAACGCGAAGAACCUUACCUCGGUCUUGACAUCCCGGAGACCCUUAGGAAACUAGGGGGUGCUUCCAUCUGGAAGAAUCUGGAGACAGGUGCUGCAUGGCUGUCGUCAGCUCGUGUCGUGAGAUGUUGGGUUAAGUCCCGCAACGAGCGCAACCCUUGCCUUUAGUUGCCAGCAGUUCGGCUGGGCACUCUAAAGGGACUGCCGGUGUUAAACCGGAGGAAGGUGGGGAUGACGUCAAGUCCUCAUGGCCUUUAUGACCAGGGCUACACACGUACUACAAUGGCCGAUACAAAGGGCAGCGACACUGCGAGGUGAAGCCAAUCCCGUAAAAUCGGUCUCAGUCCGGAUUGGAGCCUGCAACUCGACUCCAUGAAGUUGGAAUCGCUAGUAAUCGUGGAUCAGCAUGCCACGGUGAAUACGUUCCCGGGCCUU
RNAcentral lists this ribosomal RNA (495 nucleotides) under uncultured Desulfobulbus sp. RNAcentral describes it as "bacterial SSU rRNA". It matches the Rfam family "Bacterial small subunit ribosomal RNA", at positions 897 to 1382 of the family's 1533-position model. Lineage: Bacteria; Pseudomonadati; Thermodesulfobacteriota; Desulfobulbia; Desulfobulbales; Desulfobulbaceae. The record is from RNAcentral.